UACGGAGGGGGCAAGCGUUGCUCGGAAUUAUUGGGCGUAAAGGGUAGUUAGGUGGUCUCAUUUGUCUGGGGUGAAAGCCUUGAGCUUAACUCAAGAAGUGCCCCAGAAACGGUGAGACUGGAGUCCUGGAGAGGGUCGUGGAAUUCCCGGUGUAGCGGUGAAAUGCGUAGAGAUCGGGAGGAACACCAGAGGCGAAAGCGGCGACCUGGACAGGCAGUGACACUCAACUACGAAAGCGUGGGGAGCAAACAGG
Molecule: ribosomal RNA, 253 nt
Filed under: uncultured bacterium
Lineage: Bacteria
Description: partial 16S ribosomal RNA
Rfam family: Bacterial small subunit ribosomal RNA
Source: RNAcentral